GAAGAAGGCUUAGAUAUGACACAGAGAAGUACAGUUAUUCCCUGGCGGAUUGUAGAUGACUGUGGUGGUGCCUUUACAAUGGGAGCCAUAGGUGGUGGCAUCUUCCAAGCUGUUAAAGGGUUCAGAAAUUCUCCAGUGGGUGUAAACCACCGGCUGCGGGGAAGCUUGACAGCUAUUAAAACCAGAGCGCCUCAAUUGGGAGGGAGCUUUGCAGUCUGGGGUGGUCUCUUCUCCAUGAUUGACUGCAGUAUGGUGCAGGUGAGGGGUAAAGAAGAUCCAUGGAACUCUAUCACAAGUGGUGCCUUAACUGGAGCCAUAUUAGCUUCAAGAAAUGGACCAGUUGCCAUGGUUGGGUCUGCUGCAAUGGGAGGAAUUCUUCUAGCUUUAAUUGAAGGAGCUGGUAUCCUAUUGACAAGAUUUGCAUCCACACAAUUUCCAAAUGGUCUGCAGAACAGAUUUCCCAGAAUAGAAAAAUCAUGUCACAAAUGGUGUUUUGCCUCUCUCCUCUGAUGCCAUUGGCUAAUUUCAACAAGUAUCAAACAAUGCAGAUGAAGUUGGUAGAUAUUAAAAUGAUACAGAACAAAUGCCAUAUUGGGUAAUAUAGCUCACAUACAACCAUUUCUGUAUCUUGUAAGAAGAGUGUAACAUGGUAGCUGUUACAGGCUUUUUGCAUAACUGGUAAACAUCAAUAUGAUUCUUGAAAGCGAAAAUUGACUCAGCAAUUUUAGUUCUUACUACUGUACUGCUUUUGGUGCUGUUAUUUUGCCUGUGUUUGAGUGAGUUCACACUCUGCCAGCUGCUGGGAGAAGUUGCUGUGUGGCAAAAAGCCAACUGACAAACAGAAUUGCUAAAGUGGGAGCAGCUCAGAGGCCAGAAUUAAAAGCUAUUUCCAAAUUCUGUAGUUUGGGUGGGAGGUGAAGAGUCUCCAUUAUGCUCAGGAAAGAGCUGACAGGGUUAGAUGUGUUUUUCUUCUGUUGACAUGCAUAUCGGGGACUUUAACAUCGGGGGUGUAAAGGCACAAUGGUAAAGUGCUGCAUUUUAAGUAGGACCCAGAUCAACUCUGGGAAUCCUAAGAGGGGAGAAGGGGCUAAGGCAGUGCUUCCCAACCUUUUCCUCAGCAUGACCCCAUUUAAGCAUUGGAAAUGUUUUGUGACCCCAAAAUGAUACAGACAAGAUCAACACCCCUCCCUAUUCCUCACAGCAAGCCAGAGCGGAGCCCAUGGGUAGGGGAUAGGGAGAAGCAGCUCAGGGCUCCCUGCCCUGCUGCCUUCCCCCUGGGGGUCUCCGAGGCCCACUGGGUGGGAGGGCAGCAGGGUAAGGAGCCCUGAGACUGCAGCAGGCAGCCUGUACCCCACACAUCUGGGGGGCAUGCUCCCCCAUGCCUCCCUCCCUUGGGAGUGUGCGUGCAUAGCCUUCCCCCUACUCCUUUUGGAGGAGCUGCCCAUGGCUCCAUCCUGCUGUCCCAGCCCUUCCCCUCCUUCCUCCCUCUCACACUGUGGGGCCUCAAUCUGCCCCUGCCCCCCCAUAAACUUGCCUGGAGGUAGCUGUAGGAGCUGCUCUCCAUGCUGCCAGGCUGCCGUAUGCAUGUGUGCACGCAGACAUGCAUGUGGCACCUCCUUCCAGAUCAUCCUCUUCCCAGGCAGCCCCUUGCAGGCUGGAAUUCUGCCAGCCUGCAAGGGGAACCCACCAUUUCCCGCUUUUUUUCUGUGAUUUUCAUCAUCAUCAUCAACACUGUUGAGUGUCUUUGCAAACCCAUUUUUUAUUAUUGCAAGCCCAAAUCGGGUUGUGACUCCAAGGUUGGGACCUGCUGACCUAAGCUGUUCAUUCCAGGAGUCAGUGCUGACGUGCAUGGUUUUACUAGGUCAGAUAUCCCAAUUUAGUUUUCCUGCCAGCAGCCCAGAAAGGAGUUGUACUUCUUUGGUGGUAAAAAAUGUAAAUGUUUAGUUAACAAGAAGCCAUGUACACUUCCAAGAACAUGAAGACUUAAGAGUCAGAACGCAAGUGCUACUGAGCAGUGGUUUUCUUUUUCUGUUCUGUCACUUCAGACAUUUAAGCUUUGGCCUGACACAGGCAGCAGUUUGUUCUGAAGUCUAAAGACCAUCUUUCAUACUAAGCAGAUGUAGAAAUAACCAUUUUAGGUUAAGUUUUGGGAAUAGCAUGUGAUGGUCCCUAAUCUCGGUUUCAGUGAUUUAUAGAAAAUCAGAUUGCAUGCCAAAAUUGAAUAAUGUAUGAUUGCAUGCCAACAUUUAUCCGAUUGCGUUUCAACAUUAAAUAACAUAUGAAGAUUCCUACUUUAUGCCUGAUGCACGCCUAUGAUGUAUUUGACCUGUAUUUUUGUAUUUGCAUCACUUUUCAGAGGAAGAAUAAUCUGUUUGUUUUAAAACAGAGGUACUAGUAAUCAAGGAACAUUGCCUUCAUUAACAUUUCCUCUUGACAUUAUCUCUGUCUGCCUCAUCUGUAAAUGAGGAUAAUUUUUAUAAUAUUGCAAGGCCAAUUAACUAUAUAUACAGAAAGGACCUUACGGUUUUGUAACUAUGCUAGUUAGAGACUGCCCCCUUUUUAAUGCAGGUCUGAGACGCUGGUUCACCAUAUCUGAAACCAACUUGCAUGGAAUAGCUGCUCUAAACUUGGUUUGGAUCUGUGCAAAACAUGCUUAAUUAUCUGGCUGCUGUCCUUGGAAGCUAACCAUGCACUGGCCUUACCUGCGGCUCAGGAUAACUCGUGGUUGUAACACUGUUCUGCUGUGUAAAUGGAAUUUUUCAUCUGUGCUUUUUACUGUUUAGGCCCUCAGUUUUCAGAUGAUGCUUCCCAAUUAUCACCUUCCCCAUUUGGUGACUACAGGCAAUAUCAGUGAUUACCAUUACUCUGUUUCAUGUUAUACACUCGAGCUAUAAUUAUAAAUACUGGAAGAUCAAGAUACAAUUUAACACCUUCAAUUGGAAAUAUGUGGCAGAUCUCUUUGUACAAACCAUGGCAAGAGGACACUUGGCACUUUUUCACUGUAAAGAUGAACAGAGAAGCUUUAGAAGAUCAUAAAUGUAUUUAUUCAUAUAAGUUCAUUGUUAUAAUGCUGAUACAUUGCUGAUACGAGACAUCAAGGUUUAAGACAAGAACCAAGCAGAAUACUAUAAUGCUUUGGAUAAGGAACUAGAUGAAUUUUGCUGUGGUCUUUUCUGAAAUGUGGUAUUAACCAUUACUGUAGUCAUCAACAAUAAAAACAUCUGACAUUUAA
This is an RNA transcript of Alligator sinensis (Chinese alligator), 3232 nucleotides long. It is a transcript of the gene named translocase of inner mitochondrial membrane 17A, with no coding region annotated. The transcript has 7 exons. Lineage: Eukaryota; Metazoa; Chordata; Crocodylia; Alligatoridae. The record is from RefSeq and is a predicted model, not a curated record.